AACUAUGGUGGCUCUGGCGGGGCAGCUUACGGGCUGGCCGGUUUCCGAUGUGACCGGUACUGCGAACCUUGUCUGAGCCGCCACCCAA
This 88-nucleotide non-coding RNA is filed under the name Rahnella victoriana. The record is from RNAcentral. RNAcentral also lists the same sequence under 1 other name. Lineage: Bacteria; Pseudomonadati; Pseudomonadota; Gammaproteobacteria; Enterobacterales; Yersiniaceae.